UACAGAGGGUGCAAGCGUUGUCCGGAAUUACUGGGCGUAAAGGGCGCGUAGGCGGUUCGAUAAGUAGGGGGUGAAAUCUCACGGCUCAACCGGGAGGCUGCCUUCUAGACUGUCGGACUUGAGCACGGUAGAGGCAGAUGGAAUUCCCGGUGUAGCGGUGGAAUGCGUAGAGAUCGGGAAGAACACCAGUGGCGAAGGCGAUCUGCUGGGCCGUUGCUGACGCUGAGGCGCGAUAGCGUGGGGAGCAAACAGG
Molecule: ribosomal RNA, 253 nt
Filed under: uncultured bacterium
Lineage: Bacteria
Description: partial 16S ribosomal RNA
Rfam family: Bacterial small subunit ribosomal RNA
Source: RNAcentral